This 91-nucleotide transfer RNA is filed under the name Dakarella massiliensis. RNAcentral's name for it is "tRNA-Ser". It matches the Rfam family "tRNA". From Rfam's summary of the family: Transfer RNA (tRNA) molecules are approximately 80 nucleotides in length. Their secondary structure includes four short double-helical elements and three loops (D, anti-codon, and T loops). Further hydrogen bonds mediate the characteristic L-shaped molecular structure. tRNAs have two regions of fundamental functional importance: the anti-codon, which is responsible for specific mRNA codon recognition, and the 3' end, to which the tRNAs corresponding amino acid is attached (by aminoacyl-tRNA synthetases). tRNAs cope with the degeneracy of the genetic code in two manners: having more than one tRNA (with a specific anti-codon) for a particular amino acid; and 'wobble' base-pairing, i.e. permitting non-standard base-pairing at the 3rd anti-codon position. RNAcentral also lists the same sequence under 6 other names. Lineage: Bacteria; Pseudomonadati; Pseudomonadota; Betaproteobacteria; Burkholderiales; Sutterellaceae. The record is from RNAcentral.
GGAAGGGUGGCAGAGUGGUCGAAUGCACCGGACUCGAAAUCCGGCAUACGGUUAUGCCGUAUCGAGGGUUCGAAUCCCUCCCCUUCCGCCA